UAGGGAAUCUUCCACAAUGGGCGGCAAGCCUGAUGGAGCAACACCGCGUGAGUGAAGAAGGUUUUCGGAUCGUAAAACUCUGUUGGUAGAGAAGAACGUUGGUGAGAGUGGAAAGCUCAUCAAGUGACGGUAACUACCCAGAAAGGGACGGCUAACUACGUGUCAG
Molecule: ribosomal RNA, 166 nt
Filed under: uncultured bacterium
Lineage: Bacteria
Description: partial 16S ribosomal RNA
Rfam family: Bacterial small subunit ribosomal RNA
Source: RNAcentral